GGGGAUAUAGCUCAGUUAGUAGAGUAUUUGCCUCACAUGCAUAAGGCCCUGGGUUCAAUCUCCAGCACCACCA
Molecule: transfer RNA, 73 nt
Filed under: Marmota marmota marmota (Alpine marmot)
Lineage: Eukaryota; Metazoa; Chordata; Mammalia; Rodentia; Sciuridae
Also listed under: 1 other name
Rfam family: tRNA
About the family: Transfer RNA (tRNA) molecules are approximately 80 nucleotides in length. Their secondary structure includes four short double-helical elements and three loops (D, anti-codon, and T loops).
Source: Rfam by way of RNAcentral